Molecule: non-coding RNA, 124 nt
Filed under: Frankia sp.
Lineage: Bacteria; Bacillati; Actinomycetota; Actinomycetes; Frankiales; Frankiaceae
Also listed under: 1 other name
Description: Glycine sequence
Rfam family: Glycine riboswitch aptamer
About the family: This family represents the bacterial glycine riboswitch. Glycine riboswitches usually consist of two metabolite-binding aptamers domains with similar structures in tandem.
Source: RNAcentral
CAACUCUGGAAAGUGGACGCCGUGGGGUGUCCCGCCGACGGUGAAAGCCGCGUUCCCCGCCCGCAGCUCCCCGGACUGCCGGCGGCGGCGCUGGUGAAGCUCUCAGGUCAAUGACAGAGGGGGA